RNAcentral lists this ribosomal RNA (253 nucleotides) under uncultured bacterium. Its description in RNAcentral is "partial 16S ribosomal RNA". It matches the Rfam family "Bacterial small subunit ribosomal RNA", at positions 524 to 776 of the family's 1533-position model. The record is from RNAcentral.
GACGUAGGGCGCAAGCGUUGUCCGGAUUUAUUGGGCGUAAAGAGCUCGUAGGCGGCUUGUUGCGUCGUCCGUGAAAACCCGCAGCUCAACUGCGGGCUUGCGGACGAUACGGUCAGGCUAGAGUUCGGUAGGGGAGACUGGAAUUCCUGGUGUAGCGGUGAAAUGCGCAGAUAUCAGGAGGAACACCGGUGGCGAAGGCGGUUCUCUGGGCCGAUACUGACGCUGAGGAGCGAAAGCGUGGGGAGCGAACAGG